GUACACAUUAUUAUUUAAUAAAAAUGUUUACUUAUAAUCAAUUAUUAAAAAAACAAAAAGAUGUUUCGGUAAUAAAAAAAUUGUUACAAAUUUAACAAUUAUUGAUAAGACAAACUUUAUAAUUUAAUAUGAAUAAACCAAUUAUUUAUAUUCAAAAUUUUAGAAACAAUUUAAACAUAUAAGAAAUCGAACUACUCGAACAGAUCUCGAACUUAUCGAAUUGAACUGAACUCGAACUGUUCGCGAAUAAAGACGAACCGAAUCACAUGGUUUGCUUCGAUCGAGAAAUUGAACGUAACACUAUGUCCGAACUCAACUCGACUAGGCGAACAACUCGAACUCGAACUCGAACCGAACCGGUUUGCGAAUUGUUUUGUUCGUUUGCAACCCUAUUCCUACCUAGAGAGUCGAAAUGAGCUAAUUUUUAGACGACAAUACAAUGAUACUAUAUAUUUUCAGAUCCAGGAAGCCAAAAAUUUUAAACCAAGUUAACUGAACUGGCCGAAACAAGCCUCGAAAAUUUUAGGGUUGGGGUUAUUCAUAGUUUUUGGCAGAAAACUGUUUCGGUAGAAAAUUCGCCACGGAAAGCUCAUUCAAUAUUUUUUAGCAAAUCCAGUGGGGUUCUUUAGAAAACUUAUAGAUCUAUCCAACAAAGUUGACGAAUCUCAAAAACGAGUUACGGUUUAAAAACGGUUGAUGUCCAAAGUGUACUGAAAUUUCUAGGGUUCUUGAACUAAAUCUCAUAAAAACAUUUCUUAUUUUUCUUUACCUUCCAAACACAUCAACACACAUAUUGAACACAUC
RNAcentral lists this long non-coding RNA (804 nucleotides) under Panax ginseng (ginseng). RNAcentral's name for it is "long non-coding RNA (PGIN_LNC019073)". Lineage: Eukaryota; Viridiplantae; Streptophyta; Magnoliopsida; Apiales; Araliaceae. The record is from RNAcentral.